UACGUAGGGGGCAAGCGUUGUCCGGAUUUAUUGGGCGUAAAGAGCGUGUAGGCGGCUCGGCAGGUCUGUUGUGAAAACUCGAGGCUCAACCUCGAGACGUCGAUGGAAACCAUCUAGCUAGAGUCCGGAAGAGGAGAGUGGAAUUCCUGGUGUAGCGGUGAAAUGCGCAGAUAUCAGGAAGAACACCCGUGGCGAAGGCGGCUCUCUGGUACGUGACUGACGCUGAGACGCGAAAGCGUGGGGAGCGAACAGG
RNAcentral lists this ribosomal RNA (253 nucleotides) under uncultured bacterium. Its description in RNAcentral is "partial 16S ribosomal RNA". It matches the Rfam family "Bacterial small subunit ribosomal RNA", at positions 524 to 776 of the family's 1533-position model. The record is from RNAcentral.